Molecule: ribosomal RNA, 253 nt
Filed under: uncultured bacterium
Lineage: Bacteria
Description: partial 16S ribosomal RNA
Rfam family: Bacterial small subunit ribosomal RNA
Source: RNAcentral
UACAGAGGAGGCAAGCGUUGUUCGGAAUUACUGGGCGUAAAGGGCCAGUAGGCGGCCAACUAAGUCGGAUGUGAAAUCCCCAGGCUUAACCUGGGAACUGCAUCCGAUACUGGAUGGCUUGAAUUCGGGAGAGGGAUGCAGAAUUCCAGGUGUAGCGGUGAAAUGCGUAGAUAUCUGGAGGAAUACCGGUGGCGAAGGCGGCAUCCUGGACCGACAUUGACGCUGAACGGCGAAAGCUAGGGGAGCAAACGGG